Molecule: long non-coding RNA, 1100 nt
Filed under: Betta splendens (Siamese fighting fish)
Lineage: Eukaryota; Metazoa; Chordata; Actinopteri; Anabantiformes; Osphronemidae
Description: lncRNA (ENSBSLG00000000682.1)
Source: RNAcentral
UCUGCUGUGGUCUGUUCUCUAGCGUUGGUAUUUAAUGCUGUGGUUUGUAAAUGACUCUCAUGCACAGGUUCAGUUAAAUGUGUUCCAGUCACAUUUAUGGCUUCAUCAUGAUUCAACAGCUGCUGCUAAUCGUCCUCAUCCAUUUUUACAGAGGCAAAGCACGAGCUGUUCCUCCGCCUGAGCUGACUGUGACUCCAGUGGAGAUCGCAGAGACAGACGCAGUCACUCUGAACUGUCAGACUUCGUCGUCUGUGUCUCAGUGUUUUUUCUUCAUUGUGAGUGGACGAACCGUCAGAACCUUCUCCUGCCUGUGGACACUGACAGGGACCGAGCUCCUGCACAUGGCACAACUGAUGUCACCUGCUAAGGUUGAAGUUCAGUGUUAUUAUACCUUUAAUGGAAGAAAUUCUCCGCUCAGUGAUCCGUCCUCCAUCACUAUACAAAGUAGACGUCCAUUAACAAACGUUAUUGGUAAAGUAAUAUUACAAUGUUAGGCAUUAAUUUGCAUUUGGACAAACCAGCGACAGCCUCCACUCACAUUUAAUGGUCACAUUAAAAGUUUGAAUUUAAGAAGGUGAAGAGAUGACAGACAUGAAGUGUCUGUCAUCUCAUCUUCUAAUGCAAAUACUGACACAGAGUCAAGUGUGAUAACGACUUCUCCAAAAACCCCUGUGACCACAGGUAGGACAAGCUGAUCAGAACCAGAGAAACCAGAACAUAUGAAUAAGAAAACCUUUAAUAGUCCCGCAGUGGGGAAAUUACUUCUCACAACAGCAGUACAGAUGAGCGAGAAUACAGGUACAGAACAGUUUGUGUUGGCAGUGACAUUGUCACUGAUACGUCAGUCUGACAGUUUUCAAACCUCCAGGUCUGACGCUCAAACCCGCUCGUACUUCUGCUCCUGAAGCUCAUUUAGAGCCAACAUCUGUUACAAACGAGAGUCAAACUGGACUGAACGGUAUUCUAAAACACACUCGCUAUGAGUGGGAAACAGGCUACAAUGGGCUUCAAACUGAAGUGGGAGAGAAGACCCAAAUGCAACGACCCACAGACAGGACUGACGAUAAAUGGUUUAAUAAUAAAAACAUACAAAAAGGACA